UGUGAUAUCUGUUAAGGCUGUUUUGUGCUUCUGCAUCAACGCCACGCCGUAGCUACUCCGUCGCUCCUACGGCGUUGUGACCCUUUCGGAGUCGGAGUUGCUUUGCAUGGCGGUGCGUUUCACCGCCAUAACGCUAGGGGAAAAUAAGUCAGAGGAUAUUUGCGAGGUGUCUGCUAGCCAGUUUAUGUUAUGUUAGCAAGCAAACUUUAGCAUAACUGCCCACAAAGGACUGCUUGCUGGCGAAGAGCUCACUU
Molecule: long non-coding RNA, 254 nt
Organism: Etheostoma spectabile (orangethroat darter)
Lineage: Eukaryota; Metazoa; Chordata; Actinopteri; Perciformes; Percidae
Exons: 2
Source: RefSeq, a predicted model, not a curated record